CGCGUAAUCAACCUGCCUUCAGGAUGGGGACAACAGACGGAAACGACUGCUAAUACCGAAUAAGUUCCAAGAGCCGCAUGGCCCAUGGAAGAAAAGGUGGCCUCUACUUGUAAGCUAUCGCCUGAAGAGGGGUUUGCGUCUGAUUAGCUGGUUGGAGGGGUAACGGCCCACCAAGGCGACGAUCAGUAGCCGGUCUGAGAGGAUGAACGGCCACACUGGAACUGAGACACGGUCCAGACUCCUACGGGAGGCAGCAUG
This 258-nucleotide ribosomal RNA is filed under the name uncultured bacterium. Its description in RNAcentral is "partial 16S ribosomal RNA". It matches the Rfam family "Bacterial small subunit ribosomal RNA", at positions 114 to 353 of the family's 1533-position model. The record is from RNAcentral.